GGGUUGUGAGGUUAAGCGACUAAGCGUACACGGUGGAUGCCCUGGCAGUCAGAGGCGAUGAAGGACGUGCUAAUCUGCGAAAAGCGUCGGUAAGGUGAUAUGAACCGUUAUAGCCGGCGAUGUCCGAAUGGGGAAACCCAGUGCAAUUCGUUGCACUAUCGUUAACUGAAUACAUAGGUUAACGAGGCGAACCGGGGGAACUGAAACAUCUAAGUACCCCGAGGAAAAGAAAUCAACCGAGAUUCCCCCAGUAGCGGCGAGCGAACGGGGAGCAGCCCAGAGUCUGAAUCAGCUUGUGUGUUAGUGGAACGGUCUGGAAAGUCCGACGGUACAGGGUGAUAGUCCCGUACACCAAAAUGCACAGGCUGUGAACUCGAAGAGUAGGGCGGGACACGUGGUAUCCUGUCUGAAUAUGGGGGGACCAUCCUCCAAGGCUAAAUACUCCUGACUGACCGAUAGUGAACCAGUACCGUGAGGGAAAGGCGAAAA
Molecule: ribosomal RNA, 489 nt
Filed under: Klebsiella pneumoniae
Lineage: Bacteria; Pseudomonadati; Pseudomonadota; Gammaproteobacteria; Enterobacterales; Enterobacteriaceae
Description: bacterial LSU rRNA
Rfam family: Bacterial large subunit ribosomal RNA
Source: RNAcentral